This 90-nucleotide microRNA precursor is filed under the name Canis lupus familiaris (dog). RNAcentral's name for it is "mir-8799 microRNA precursor family". It matches the Rfam family "mir-8799 microRNA precursor family". RNAcentral also lists the same sequence under 1 other name. The record is from Rfam by way of RNAcentral. Lineage: Eukaryota; Metazoa; Chordata; Mammalia; Carnivora; Canidae.
GGGGGGAGUUCAGAUCCUGGGCUGUGUCCCAGGCGCCCUAUGCCCUGGGGCCUGCGCUGUUGGAUUCGCGCUCCGUCUGUGCAGCUGCCU